This 440-nucleotide ribosomal RNA is filed under the name uncultured bacterium. RNAcentral describes it as "partial 16S ribosomal RNA". It matches the Rfam family "Bacterial small subunit ribosomal RNA", at positions 338 to 795 of the family's 1533-position model. The record is from RNAcentral.
CCUACGGGUGGCAGCAGUGGGGAAUAUUGCACAAUGGGGGGAACCCUGAUGCAGCAACGCCGCGUGGGUGAAGAAGUACUUCGGUAUGUAAAGCCCUGUUAGCAGGGAAGAAAAUGACGGUACCUGACCAAGACGCACCGGCUAACUACGUGCCAGCAGCCGCGGUAAUACGUAGGGGGCAAGCGUUAUCCGGAUUUACUGGGCGUAAAGGGAGCGUAGACGGUAAAGCAAGUCUGGAGUGAAAGGCCGUGGCUCAACCACGGGACUGCCUUGGAAACUGUGUUGCUGGAGUGGAGGAGGGGUAAGCGGAAUUCGUAGUGUAGCGGUGAAAUGCGUAGAUAUUAGGAGGAACACCGAUUGCGAAGGCGGCUUACUGGACUGUAACUGACGUUGAGGCGCGAAGGCGUGGGGAGCAAACAGGAUUAGAUACCCCGGUAGUC